GUGUGUAUGUAUGUCUUCAAUUGCUGGUAAGUAACUUUCUUGCACUGAGGUCUGUUUGUUGCAAAUAUCUUUGACUUGUUUUUAUGUCUUAUAAUGUUUAUGUGUGUAUUUAUGUCUUGUAUUGCUGGUAAGUAACUUUCUUGCACUGAGGUCUGUUUGUUGCAAAUAUCUUUGACCUGUUUUUAUGUCUUAUAAUGUUUAUAUUUGUAUUUAUGUCUUGUAUUGCUGGUAAGUAACUUUCUUGCACUGAGGUCUGUUUGUUGCAAAUAUCUUUGACUUGUUUUUAUGUCUUGUAAUGUUUAUGUGUGUAUUUAUGUCUUGUAUUGCUGGUAAGUAACUUUCUUGCACUGAGGUCUGUUUAUUGCAAAUAUCUUUGACCUGUUUUUAUGUCUUAUAAUGUUUAUAUUUGUAUUUAUGUCUUAUAUUGCUGGUAAGUAACUUUCUUGCACUGAGGUCUGUUUGUUGCAAAUAUCUUUGACCUGUUUUUAUGUCUUAUAAUGUUUAUAUUUGUAUUUAUGUCUUAUAUUGCUGGUAAGUAACUUUCUUGCACUGAGGUCUGUUUGUUGCAAAUAUCUUUGACUUGUUUUUAUGUCUUGUAAUGUUUAUGUGUGUAUUUAUGUCUUGUAUUGCUGGUAAGUAACUUUCUUGCACUGAGGUCUGUUUGUUGCAAAUAUCUUUGACUUGUUUUUAUGUCUUGUAAUGUUUAUGUGUGUAUUUAUGUCUUGUAUUGCUGGUAAGUAACUUUCUUGCACUGAGUUUUGUUUGUUGCAAAUAUCUUUGACUUGUUUUUAUGUCUUGUAAUGUUUAUGUGUGUAUUUAUGUCUUGUAUUGCUGGUAAGUAACUUUCUUGCACUGAGUUUUUUUUGUUGCAAAUAUCUUUGAUUUGUUUUUAUGUCUUAUCAUGUUUAUAUGUGUAUUUAUGUCUUGUAUUGCUG
Astatotilapia calliptera (eastern happy) is the source of this 935-nucleotide long non-coding RNA. The record is from Ensembl. Lineage: Eukaryota; Metazoa; Chordata; Actinopteri; Cichliformes; Cichlidae.